This 253-nucleotide ribosomal RNA is filed under the name uncultured bacterium. RNAcentral describes it as "partial 16S ribosomal RNA". It matches the Rfam family "Bacterial small subunit ribosomal RNA", at positions 524 to 776 of the family's 1533-position model. The record is from RNAcentral.
UACGUAGGGUGCGAGCGUUAAUCGGAAUUACUGGGCGUAAAGGGUGCGCAGGCGGUUAUGAAAGACAGGCGUGAAAUCCCCGGGCUUAACCUGGGAACUGCGUUUGUGACUACAUGACUAGAGUCAGGCAGAGGGGGGUGGAAUUCCACGUGUAGCAGUGAAAUGCGUAGAGAUGUGGAGGAACACCGAUGGCGAAGGCAGCCCCCUGGGCCAUGACUGACGCUCAGGCACGAAAGCGUGGGGAGCAAACAGG